AGAGUUUGAUCAUGGCUCAGGACAAACGCUGGCGGCGUGCGUAACACAUGCAAGUCGAACGGACGUGGAGACACGUCAGUGGCGGACGGGUGAGGAACACGUGAGUGACCUAGCUUCUUCAGGGGGAUACCCCGACGAAAGUCGGGCUAAUACCGCAUGAGCUCGAGAGAGGAAAGGCGAGAGCCGGGAGAAGGGGGGCUUGCGGUCGAUUAGCUAGAUGGUGGGGUAAGGGCCUACCAUGGCGAUGAUCGAUAGCUGGUCUGAGAGGAUGAUCAGCCACACUGGGAUUGAGAACGGCCCAGACUCCUACGGGGGGCAGCAGUGAGGAAUCUUCGACAAUGGGCGCAAGCCUGAUCGAGCGACGCCGCGUGGAGGAGGACGCCUUUCGGGGUGUAAACUCCUUUUCUGGGGGACGAGAAGGGACGGUACCCCAGGAAGAAGUCUCGGCUAACUACGUGCCAGCAGCCGCGGUAAUACGUAGGAGGCGAGCGUUGUCCGGAGUUACUGGGCGUAAAGCGUGUGCAGGCGGCUUGAUUUGUCGGCCUUGAAAUCUCCCGGCUCAACUGGGAGGGGCAGGACGAAACGGUCAGGCUUGAGGGCUGGAGAGGGACAUAGAACUCCCGGUGGACCAGUGAAAUGGGUAGAGAUCGGGAAGAAUACCAGAGGGGAAGCCGGUGUCCUGGCCAGUGCCUGACGCUCAGACACGACAGCAUGGGGAGCAAACAGGAUUAGAUACCCUGGUAGUC
Molecule: ribosomal RNA, 746 nt
Filed under: uncultured bacterium
Lineage: Bacteria
Description: bacterial SSU rRNA
Rfam family: Bacterial small subunit ribosomal RNA
Source: RNAcentral